RNAcentral lists this ribosomal RNA (450 nucleotides) under uncultured bacterium. Its description in RNAcentral is "partial 16S ribosomal RNA". It matches the Rfam family "Bacterial small subunit ribosomal RNA", at positions 354 to 796 of the family's 1533-position model. The record is from RNAcentral.
GUGGGGAAUCUUCCGCAAUGGACGAAAGUCUGACGGAGCAACGCCGCGUGAGUGAAGAAGGUUUUCGGAUCGUAAAGCUCUUUCGUUAGGGACGAACGUGCUCUUUGUGAAUAAUGAGGAGUAAUGACGGUACCUAAAUAAGAAGCCACGGCUAACUACGUGCCAGCAGCCGCGGUAAUACGUAGGUGGCAAGCGUUGUCCGGAAUUAUUGGGCGUAAAGCGCGCGCAGGCGGGAUAUCAAGUCUGUAUUAAAAGUGCGAGGCUCAACCUCGUGAGGGGACAGAAACUGGUAUUCUUGAGUGUCGGAGAGGAAAGUGGAAUUCCAAGUGUAGCGGUGAAAUGCGUAGAGAUUUGGAAGAACACCAGUGGCGAAGGCGACUUUCUGGACGAUGUCUGACGCUGAGGCGCGAAAGCUAGGGGAGCGAACGGGAUUAGAAACCCGAGUAGUCC